GACGAACGCUGGCGGCGUGCUUAACACAUGCAAGUCGAACGCUGAAGCUUGGUGCUUGCACUGGGUGGAUGAGUGGCGAACGGGUGAGUAAUACGUGAGUAACCUGCCCUUGACUCUGGGAUAAGCCUGGGAAACUGGGUCUAAUACUGGAUACGACAUGUCACCGCAUGGUGGUGUGUGGAAAGGGUUUUACUGGUUUUGGAUGGGCUCACGGCCUAUCAGCUUGUUGGUGGGGUAAUGGCUCACCAAGGCGACGACGGGUAGCCGGCCUGAGAGGGUGACCGGCCACACUGGGACUGAGAUACGGCCCAGACUCCUACGGGAGGCAGCAGUGGGGAUUAUUGCACAAUGGGCGGAAGCCUGAUGCAGCAACGCCGCGUGCGGGAUGACGGCCUUCGGGUUGUAAACCGCUUUCGCCUGUGACGAAGCGUGAGUGACGGUAAUGGGUAAAGAAGCACCGGCUAACUACGUG
This 472-nucleotide ribosomal RNA is filed under the name uncultured bacterium. RNAcentral's name for it is "partial 16S ribosomal RNA". It matches the Rfam family "Bacterial small subunit ribosomal RNA", at positions 28 to 507 of the family's 1533-position model. The record is from RNAcentral.